UACGGAGGGUGCAAGCGUUAUCCGGAUUCACUGGGUUUAAAGGGUGCGUAGGUGGGCAAGUAAGUCAGUGGUGAAAUCUCCGGGCUUAACCCGGAAACUACCAUUGAUACUAUUUGUCUUGAAUACUGUGGAGGUCAGCGGAAUAUGUCAUGUAGCGGUGAAAUGCUUAGAUAUGACAUAGAACACCAAUUGCGAAGGCAGCUGGCUACACAAAUAUUGACACUGAGGCACGAAAGCGUGGGGAUCAAACAGG
Molecule: ribosomal RNA, 253 nt
Filed under: uncultured bacterium
Lineage: Bacteria
Description: partial 16S ribosomal RNA
Rfam family: Bacterial small subunit ribosomal RNA
Source: RNAcentral